UACGGAGGGUGCAAGCGUUAUCCGGAUUCACUGGGUUUAAAGGGUGCGUAGGUGGGUUGGUAAGUCAGUGGUGAAAUCUCCGUGCUUAACAUGGAAACUGCCAUUGAUACUACUGGUCUUGAAUUUUCUGGAGGUAAGCGGAAUAUGUCAUGUAGCGGUGAAAUGCGUAGAUAUCAAGAGGAACACCUGAGGUGAAGACGGGUUGCUGGGCUGACACUGACGCUGAGGCGCGAAAGCUAGGGUAGCAAACGGG
Molecule: ribosomal RNA, 253 nt
Filed under: uncultured bacterium
Lineage: Bacteria
Description: partial 16S ribosomal RNA
Rfam family: Bacterial small subunit ribosomal RNA
Source: RNAcentral